This 3625-nucleotide small RNA is filed under the name Pongo abelii (Sumatran orangutan). RNAcentral describes it as "retained intron". Lineage: Eukaryota; Metazoa; Chordata; Mammalia; Primates; Hominidae. The record is from RNAcentral.
UUUAAAAUAUUUAUUUAUUUAUUUAUUUAAAGAUGGAGUCUAGCUCUGUCGCCCAGGCUGGAGUGCAGUGGCAUGAUCUCGGCUCACUACCACCUCUGCCUCCCAGGUUCAAGUGAUUCUCCUGCCUCGGCCUCCCGAGUAGCUGGGAUUACAGGCGCCCGCCACUGCACCUAGCCAAUUUUUGUAUUUUUAGUGAAGAAGAGGUUUCACCAUGUUGGCUAGGAUGGUCUAGAUCUCCUGAUCUCGUGAUCCACCCACCUCAGCCUUCCAAAGUGCUGGGAUUACAGGCAUGAGCCACCAUGCCUGGCCAAUAUUUAUUAUUUUUAUUUUUUAGAGACAGAGUCUCAGUGAGUUGCUCAGGCUGGAGUGCAGUGGUGCAGUCAUAGCUCACUGCAGCCUUGACCUCCUGGGCUCAAGCGAUCCCCCAACCUUAGCCUCCCAAAGUGCUGGGAUUACAGAUGUGCUCCACUGUGCCUAAUUUUUAAAAUUUUUGUAGAGAUUGGGUGUUGCUAAGUUUACCCUUUUAAAGCGAGCAGUUCAGUGGUUUUUAGGCCACCACCUCUAAUUCCAGAACAUUCUCAUCACCCCCAAAUGAAACGCUGUCCCCAUCAGCAGUCACUCUGCAUCCCCUUCCGAGCCCCCGGUGCCCACACCUCCCUUCCCUGUCUCUGUGGAUGGGCCCGUCCUGGACAUUUCACAGAAACAGGAUCACACACUGUGUGACCUUCUAUGUCUGGCGUCUCUCACUGAGCGUGAUAUCCUCAAGGUGCAUCCACGCUGUGGCCUGUGUCCGAGCCUCGCUCCUUUUCUUGGCUGAGUAAUAUCCCACUGUGUGGACAUAUUACUAAUCUAAUUCUAAACAGUUAAUUAGAAUAUUCCAGAGUUUUCAUAACCGUCUCCCACUGCUGGGCAUUCAGGUUAUGUCCAUUUUUACGGCUGCAGGAAGCAGUGCUGGGAGUGGAGACUGUGUGGUCGCCUGGGGUUUCCAGCUACCUGCCCCGGGUGGACCCCAGCACCUCACUGACAGAGCCGGAAUCGGGCGAGGGCCUCGUGUGAGGCUCAGCCACCCCAUAGACGGGCUAGGUGUCGGCACUGUGGCUGUUUGAAGUGGCUUUUUGUUGACACAUGUGAUCUGACACUUCCCAGCCCCAGGAAUCCAUGGUCAGGAGCCCCCUUGGGAGGGGAGCACUUUUCCCCGAGUUAUCAGCCACGCGUGUGCUUGUGCCCCACGGGUCCCACAGAGGCUCUGGGAGCCUGUAUGUGUUUGCUCAUUGCUUCUCCGUGACAAGUUCCAGCCUCGUAGGUGCCCGGCGUGCAGUUGAAGGCGGGUGGGGAUGGGGCGAGGCCUCGUGGAGGGAGGGUGGACAGGGCGGGUCCUCGACAGGUGCUCCUCACGGCGCCUCCCCCACAGCUGCGAGGAGGGAGGGUGGGCAGGCGGGUCCUCGGCACACUCCCCUCCCGGCGCCUCCCCCACAGCUGCGAGGAGGGAGGGUGGGCAGGCGGGUCCUCGGCACACUCCCCUCCCCGCGCCUUCCCCACAGCUGCGCCAACGGAGGAGGCUACUACCACUACUCAUACUCGGUGGUGAGGGGCUGCGACCGCAUCGUGCCUGUGGACAUCUACAUCCCAGGUAGGGCCGGGACCGCACCGCCCACGAGGGAGCUGGGGACAGGGCCAGCGCCACACGGAGCCCGGCGGCCCCUGUGAGGGAGUCCCACACCCCAAGCAGACGGCGGGCUCCCCCAUCCUGUGGAUGGGCCGACUCGGGGCUCUCCCUCUUAGUGGAGCGUGUCCCCUAUGAGAAGUCAGCGAUGUAUUCAGGCAUCAGAGGGAUCAGAGGGAGGAGGGGAGGCGGAGUGGAAUUCCUGACACUCGCCUGGUUUACAGCAGUUUCAUAUGGUCCUGCCUGACAGAAACCAAAGACCUGCAGUUAGAAAUACCAAGAGAGAAGGUUCCUGGAGGCCAAGACACUAUCCCGCGCCCUCAGCCUUACAGAAGGGCACGAGGACUCCCUGGGACCCGGGGUGGCCGGAUUUGGCACAUGAAAACGUAGGAGGCUUAGUUUGACAGUGAGGUUAGGGUGAAUUUGACCAUCAGGAAAACAAUUAGUAGUAAUUGUUUAGUACGAGUAUAUCCCAACAAUAUUUGGGCUAUACUGACACUAAAAAGAGCAUUGGCUGCAUACCUGAAAUUCACGUCGCACGGGGAACAUUCUUUAUAUCUGGUGAUCCCGUGGGACUCUUGCGCCUCACGUGGUCCCACGAGGGCCACCCCCCCCGGAGCGCUCGCCUUGACAAUGGUCCACGGUAGGCAGGCUUGGAGGUGGCGCUCAUGUGGGACAGGGGACAGAGGUCCUGUUCUUGGCCACCUUGUGCUGCGGCAGUAGCGCAUGCGCAGAGAGCCCAGCCCUGAGUCCCGAGUCUGGGGGGUUGGGCAAGCAGGAGGCACAUCCUGGCGCCUCUCAAAAGUGGAGGAACAGGCUCUGACUUUGGAUUCCACUUCCCUGGAAAGGGCGUUGAUUUGUUCAGCGUUCUGCAUGGUUCAGGUCACCUGGGGGCAGUGGACAGAGCAGCCUGGGCCUCCCCGUGACCCUCAUCAGCGCAGAGAGGUCCAUCCCGGGGUCAAGAGCUUAGCCCAUGCCCCUGGUGUCUUCCCCUGCAGUGCAGACCAAAGGGGCAGGUUGUGAGCGUGGACUGCGCUCCUCCCUCCCUGGGGACUGCGCUCCUCCCUCCCUCCUCGCAGACUGUGCUUCUCCCUCCCUUGGAGCAGCCUGGACUUGCCAGAGCUCUGCCAGGUGGGGCCUGGCCGCCCUUUCCCAGGCCCUGCAGUGGCCUUGUCCUUCCCCACCUGUUUCCACUCCUGCUGUCCCCGUUGGGCCCUGGGCUUCGUCCUCUUGCUCAAGCCCUUUGCUAUGAGCCUGCCUGGCAGCUGGGGCUAGGGGAUCCCCAGCAAAGACCUCUGGCUUGGAGCUCAGAAAGGGGGUCAUCGGGUCCUCGUGGGAUGCCUGGGCUCUGGGCCACCUCCCCUCCCUCCGCCCAGCCUCCCUGCCUCCAUCUCCGUCCAGUGCAGCCCCGGGUCCUGCUCCCCACUGCUAAGUGUGUCUGGUGAGCGCUGGCCCCCAUGGAGUCCUGAGGGCUAGGGCCGGGGCCGGGUUAGUGAGGUCAGCGUCUUGUCCAAGAGGUUCCUGUGACAGCCCGGGAUGAGCCAUGGGUGGAGGGCAGUGGGGCCUUGCCCAGGGGAGGACCCCACUCUUCCUGCAGGGACCUCCCCUGCGCCGGCUCCCAAACCCUGACCUCUGCGCCCACCCAGGGCUGUCAGCCUCCACCUUCAGAGGCCGGCACGGGAGACCCCUCAAAAGCCGAGCCGGCUGCGCUGUGCACGCGGUCAUGCAGGCUCUGGCUGCGAGAAGGGAGACUGAGGCAAGGUCCCUGCAGGCUGCCCACCCACGGCCGAGGCCCUGCUGUACGGCAUCCUGCAGCUGCAGAGGAAGAUCAAGAGGGAGCGGAGGCUGCAGAUCUGGUACCGCAGGUAGCGCCGCCGCCGCCACCUGAGCCUGUCGCCGUCCUGUCCCCAGCCUGCUUGUGUCCCGUGAGGUUGUCAAUAAACCUGCCAUCGGGCUGCUGCC